RNAcentral lists this long non-coding RNA (2148 nucleotides) under Homo sapiens (human). Its description in RNAcentral is "HSALNT0105613". The record is from RNAcentral. Lineage: Eukaryota; Metazoa; Chordata; Mammalia; Primates; Hominidae.
GUUCUUAUCAACCAACACUUUUAAUUGCAAAAAGUAAAAACCUUCAUUACAAUAAACUUUAAUUUACAUACAUUCUUCACAUGGUGGAAGUCUUUACCAGUUUGUAGUAUCCUGCACUUGAACACAUACUAAAAGCUCAAGCCAUUCAGAGCCGCUGUGGCUGUGACAGCUGCCUGCCUCCCUCUGCUCCCUGGGACCAUCCAGGGCCACCACACCCUGCUCCCGGAAGGAGAGCUGCAGCUGACCCUGGCACCUGUCCCCGAUGAUGGCGGGAGCACUGCGCUGAGUCCCUGUCUUGCCUGUGACUCCUCCUUCCCCGACCCUCGGCAUUGGUUACUGACCCUUCCCCAGGGUGGAGGUGAAGGAAGGGAAGACUGCAGCCAACAUUUUUCUGAGGGUAAAACUGUGGAAAGAAGUAUGGAGGGAAGCCUGUCUGGAUAAGAUGGGGCUUUCUGGGAAUGUCAUGUGUCUGCUGGCUCCUGUCACCUCCCUGGAAGGGUCCACAGUGCUGGGGGGUUGCAGUGUGAAGAAUGGGAUGCUACUGUGAGUAAGGGUGGCUGCACAGGUGAGCCCCCUGCCCCAAGGAGCUGCUGUGGGGAGCGAUGGUGUCAAUGAAGCCUGGCACAGAGAAGAUGUCCCAACUCCCCAGUUUCUGUCUGAAACUCAGACCUCGGCUGGGUUCCUUUCUCCACACAGUGCUUGCCGCCAUGGCUCAUUCUUGGAUUGAUGGCUGCUGCCUGCCUGACAGACACACUAGUCUGAAAAAGUCUGGACAUUUCGCAGUCUCCAGGGAGAGGAAUAUGACAGAUGUAUUUGGCACUAAUGCUUAAAUUAUGCAGGGCAGGGAAACCAGAGACACUGAGGGACCUGGACAACAGACAAGCUGGCUGAGGGUUUCUCUUCAAGGCCAGCAUUUAGUCACACUGCGUCCACGGUGGGUGGACUUGGAUGUGGUGCACGAGAAGGAGAGCACCUGUCCGUCUCCCUGACAUGCUUCUGGAAGAGGCUGCUGGGGAUGUGGAGACUGGGGGUGGGGAGGACAGGGAAAUGCCUGCUGCUGGUGACACAAACACAUUCCCGGAGGCUUCCGUGUUUCAUUUGCUACAGAGCUGUCUCCACAAGCGCCUUCACUCUCCUAGCUUCCUGACCCUGCCAUGCAUCGGUUCUGUACACAACAUCUGCAGGUCCAAAUACAGAGAGAAUUUCAGCCUAAAGUACAACUUUAAAGCAUAUCUCUGACACUCCCUUCCUUCAACAAAUUGUAGUGGGUGAUGGGUCACCACUGAAAGGUAAUGAGUGUGGAACUUGUAUACUCAAGAGAGCUUUUCCUUCAUUGUCAGGAGAGCUCAAAAUCCUAAGAGGCCCUUCUGUUUAUAACUGAUUCUCGAAAGGUAGACAAAAUUGCCUCUCUCUGUGCAAACAGACAUCUUGCACAAAGCCGGCCUCCAGAUGAUCCCUCUGACUUAAAACCUCUUAAAUCAUAACUGCUUAACAACAUGACUUUCAUACGUACACAAGUUUUGUUGUUCCUGUAUUCAUCCACACAAGGGGUUGAUUAAGAAAAAAUUCCCUCAGGUACAGUUCAUCGGAGUUUCACUGAAGCCCGUGGAGGAGGCUCUGAUGUUUCUAUCCUGAGCUCUGUGAACUCUGCUUGUCCUUUGCAAGCCCAUAGACAAACAGGCCAUUCAAGUGCUCAAUGGUCCCCACUGCUGUUCAUGAGACCCACAGAGAAAGAGGGCCUGAGAGAUGAGAUGCAGGCUCCUCCAGGAAUGAAGAGGGCUUCACAACCAUCUUCACUCGUCAUUGUCUGCCUCUGAUCCAUAAUUCUGACAUAGACACCUACUGCAUCCUUUGAUUUCUGCAAUUCAGAACCAGAGGCCAAAGUGUAGUUUGCUUUUUCUUCAUCUUGGCAAUGGCAUGACCAGUGGCCAGCUAUCUAGUGGUGUCAAUAAAAGAAUAAUAAAGAGAGAAAAAAAUAAAAGGAACAGGAAAAGAACAUCCUUAUUUACACCAUUUGAUUGCUACCUACUAAAAGCACUUAGGAGAAAACAAUGCACAUAGUGAAUCAUCCAAUCAGAAACACACAGCUUUAUAUUAUUACAAAAAAGAAAAACACCUCACCUUGUCUUUGUUUCGCAGCACAGACAG